AUAUAAUAACUAAGAAAACGAAAGAAGUAAUAGGUAGUGCCUUUCAAUGCAGUAUCAAUCAUAUUCUUUUUAUAUCUUAGUUCAAAUCAAUAUUUCAUUUAUGACAAUUAUCUAGUUUUAUUUCUAAGGAACUGACCACCCUCGGAGAAAGAUGACCACACUUGCCGACCCAACCAUAACGACCCACUCCCUAAGACAUCUGGAACCACCGGAUCCACCAGAAAUCGGAAUUCAUAUGGAGGAAGACGUGUCGCCCAAGCAGUCCUUUAGGGAGAUCCUAAUGGACAAACAAGCAGAAAUAAACUGCUCCUACUACGACAACAGGGGAAAAAUUACAGCCAUCCAUCCUGAAGAAAAAGAUGGUAUAAUAUUGACAGAGGAAGAAAAACAGAGACAAUACCCUCAUGGAGACACUCAGUGAUUGUCAAGUUGGUUGGACGAAUGUGUCACACUAAUUCCUAAAGAACAAGUUAAUAAAGCUAUGAAAACCCAUCGAAAAUCUUAUUCUAAUUGAUUUGGGAUGGGAUUUCUACAUAGCAAAAUUUUGCAGUAAGAGAACAAACAAAAGGCACUACACGAAGGGUCGUGGUUUGUGAUUGGGGGCUUCCUUUCAGUGCAACAAUGGGUGCCAAACUUCACCCCGCAAGAAUCCACAAUCACACACAGUGCAAUCUGGACGAGGCUCCCACAACUCACGACUAAAUUUUACUAUAAGCAGAUCCUAGAGAGGGUUGGGGAAAAAUUGGGAGCACUCUUAAAAAUCGACUAAAAUUGGGAGAUAUGCACGUAUAUGCAUUCAAGUUCCACUAAGAACAUCAGUAAAGACAUCAGUCAUUAUUGGAGACCACAUACAGAAGGUAGUCUAUGAGGGAGAUGGAACGUUGUGCACUGGAUGCGAUAGGAUUGGUCACAUCCCCAAAAAUUGUUCAUUCAUAAGGGUAGACCAAUCACCACAAACUAGCCAACAAUAAUCAGGAAGCGGCUCGAAGAUAGAUCAAUGAUAAACAAUUACAUUCAAAAAGAGGAAGCCAAAGCAACCCCCGAGAGGCAAUCCACACACUCUUAAAGCUGGACCUCACAACAGGAUAAACGGUAGCUACAAUAAAUAGGUAACACAGGUAAAGGUUUCCAAUGCGGCAACAGGUAGUUGCUGCAACAGUUGAGAGCUUCAGCACCCACCCACAUCUUCAGGGAGCAGAACAAGGUAGCGGAUCAAAUGACCAAGGAGGGCUCUAGGGAAGCCUCAACGAAAGAACUAACGGUGUUUGAAGUCCCCUCAAUGUUUGUGGAGAAAGAAGUGGAAGCAGACAUUGUGGGAACUUCUUAUCCUAGAAAUAUAUCUCUAAACUUUGUUUGUAAUUUUGCUACUGAACAAGCUUGUAAUAUUGCUACUUCUGAUGGCCAUCAGGCAGGCCAAACUGCACUAAUCCCUCCAGAUAGGGGUACUUUAUGUCCUUAAUGAACAACUUUUGCUGAAA
This is a long non-coding RNA of Capsicum annuum, 1478 nucleotides long. RefSeq lists it as uncharacterized. Lineage: Eukaryota; Viridiplantae; Streptophyta; Magnoliopsida; Solanales; Solanaceae. The record is from RefSeq and is a predicted model, not a curated record. The transcript is spliced from 2 exons.